AGAAGGCAGCAGGCGCGCAAAUUACCCACUCCCGGCACGGGGAGGUAGUGACGAAAAAUAACGAUACGGGACUCAUCCGAGGCCCCGUAAUCGGAAUGAGUACACUUUAAAUCCUUUAACAAGGAUCCAUUGGAGGGCAAGUCUGGUGCCAGCAGCCGCGGUAAUUCCAGCUCCAAUAGCGUAUAUUAAAGUUGUUGCGGUUAAAAAGCUCGUAGUUGAAUCUGUGUGUCACGAUGUUGGUUCACCGCUCGCGGUGUUCAACUAGCAUGCCGUGAGACGUCCUACCGGUGGGCUUAGCUUUUUACGGGGCGGUCCAACUAAUAUCCCAUCGCGGUGCUCUUUAUUGAGUGUCGAGGUGGGCCGGUACGUUUACUUUGAACAAAUUAGAGUGCUUAAAGCAGGCUAUCUUCGCCUGAAUACUGUGUGCAUGGAAUAAUGGAAUAGGACCUCGGUUCUAUUUUGUUGGUUUUCGGAACCCCGAGGUAAUGAUUAAUAGGGACAGAUGGGGGCAUUCGUAUUGCGACGUUAGAGGUGAAAUUCUUGGAUCGUCGCAAGACGGACAGAAGCGAAAGCAUUUGCCAAAAAUGUUUUCAUUAAUCAAGAACGAAAGUUAGAGGUUCGAAGGCGAUCAGAUACCGCCCUAGUUCUAACCAUAAACGAUGCCAGCUAGCGAUCCGCCGAAGUUCCUCCGAUGACUCGGCGGGCAGCUUCCGGGAAACCAAAGCUUUUGGGUUCCGGGGGAAGUAUGGUUGCAAAGCUGAAACUUAAAGGAAUUGACGGAAGGGCACCACCAGGAGUGGAGCCUGCGGCUUAAUUUGACUCAACACGGGAAACCUCACCAGGCCCGGACACCGGAAGGAUUGACAGAUUGAUAGCUCUUUCUUGAUUCGGUGGGUGGUGGUGCAUGGCCGUUCUUAGUUGGUGGA
Molecule: ribosomal RNA, 926 nt
Filed under: Clasis sp. n. 2 BFS-2018
Lineage: Eukaryota; Metazoa; Arthropoda; Insecta; Hymenoptera; Ichneumonidae
Description: SSU rRNA
Rfam family: Eukaryotic small subunit ribosomal RNA
Source: RNAcentral